Molecule: ribosomal RNA, 439 nt
Filed under: uncultured bacterium
Lineage: Bacteria
Description: partial 16S ribosomal RNA
Rfam family: Bacterial small subunit ribosomal RNA
Source: RNAcentral
CUACGGGCGGCUCCAGUGGGGAAUCUUAGACAAUGGGGGAAACCCUGAUCUAGCCAUGCCGCGUGAGUGACGAAGGCCUUAGGGUCGUAAAGCUCUUUCGCUGGGGAAGAUAAUGACUGUACCCAGUAAAGAAACCCCGGCUAACUCCGUGCCAGCAGCCGCGGUAAUACGGAGGGGGUUAGCGUUGUUCGGAAUUACUGGGCGUAAAGCGCGCGUAGGCGGACUGGAAAGUUGGGGGUGAAAUCCCGGGGCUCAACCCCGGAACGGCCUCCAAAACUAUCAGUCUAGAGUUCGAGAGAGGUGAGUGGAAUUCCGAGUGUAGAGGUGAAAUUCGUAGAUAUUCGGAGGAACACCAGUGGCGAAGGCGGCUCACUGGCUCGAUACUGACGCUGAGGUGCGAAAGCGUGGGGAGCAAACAGGAUUAGAUACCCUCGUAGUC